This 860-nucleotide unclassified non-coding RNA is filed under the name Nilaparvata lugens (brown planthopper). RNAcentral's name for it is "uncharacterized LOC120353343, transcript variant X1". The record is from RNAcentral. Lineage: Eukaryota; Metazoa; Arthropoda; Insecta; Hemiptera; Delphacidae.
GCUGCAUGUGGCAACAGGACGCGACCACCCUACUUCCAAACACUUCAUCGAUCCACACUUGUGGAAGCCCAUCACAUCCUUUCCCCAAAGGAUUCUGCUGAAAUACAUUGCGAGCGGAAGGGUUGGAUAACAAAUUAUCAGGGCCAGAGCUUGUGGGGCUAUAUCCAGGAUUAUAGCCUGCUUUACGUAUCAAACAUGGCAGCUGGCGGUUAUGCCUUGACCGUCACGCUCCGUAUCUUCAACCGUGAAGGGCACACAACCAGAUUGUUAUGCAACACGCCUCUCCCACUCAGUCAGCUGAUUGUACUUUGCCCCAGAAAGCAUUCGCGAUUCCAUUGUGACUACCAUUCACUUGAACUGUAUCUAUUUAGAUGCACUCCUUCGACAAAAGUAUCCAACAAGCAACCAAAUUUACCAAAUGUAAAAGUAUUAAUAGUCAGAGUAGCCUAUAGGCUACUACCUAUAAUCCAGAUUUUGCCGUAUGAUUUAGAAAACUCCGAAUUUAUCAAUAUUGGAAGAAUAGGUCAAACGAGAAUACGACUUUAUACUUGACGUGACUUUAUUUAUGUAUCUAUCACAUUGUGUACAAAUACAUGACUUGAAGAAAGGCUCAUGGACAGGCUCAUGCCCAAAACUGUCUCAUUCCCAAUUUUUACUAAAGUAACUACUUCACUAGGCAAUUUGACUUUCUGGCUCGAAACUUCCUUCAUGUUGAGGUCACUUAGAACCCAUACCACGAGAGAGUGGAAAAAUCAGGAUAUUUUUGGUUCGACAUUCUCGGUCGAUAAUGUACAAAUGAAUGGUUAUACAAAUCCAAACUACGCUAUAAGACAAAACAACUAGAAAAGAUUCAGUAGUUU